GGAAGGAAUCCUUCUCUCUCACAUCUCAGUUAUGAGAAGCUCCCCUUCAUCUGCCAACUUUGCGGCGAUUGUUUAGACUGUUUAAGUUAAAACAACUUCAAUACCUGUCCUCUGAUUAGCUGGUGGAAGCGUUAGCUGGGAUGCCAUCUGCAUAUUCUCUUCUCAUGGUGGCUGAGGAGCAAUCCAGGUAGACUCCAGCUGAUCAAAGCUCUCCAUAGUAACCAGCAGCAACUCCAGAAAGGAGAGAAAAUCAACAACUUAUUCAAAGCAGUGUGAACUGGAAGUUGAUUCAAGUCAACUGGAAAAAUCCCAAAUGAUGUCCUACUGGUUGAUGUUGCUGCCCAAGGAGCCUCUCCUCUGUCAUGGAGGGGAAUGAAUGGGUAACAGGGGACAACUGACCUGUGAAGGUUUGUGCAUCUAGAAAAGAACUAAUAAGUGGAAAAAAGCAGAAGUUCUGUUGGAAAUAACACUGAGUCUUGAAACAAAGUCCUGGUGCUGGUAGCAGUUCACCCCAGCACAUCCUGGGGAGUUAAAACUUGUGUCAGUGCUGGGCAACUGCAGUUCAGGGGUGUCUGUGCCUCUCCAAGCUGCCCUGCUGGCUCUGACUGCUGGGGGUCCUCAAAGGAGCUGGAGAGAAGGGAAGGAUCCAUGAAUGAAUCCCAGGAAUGGCAUUCAGCAUUCCUGUUGGGCUACACCAUGAACUGGCAAGGAAGUUCAAACUGGAAUCUGCCUCCUGUGUCUCUGCCAAUAACCACAGAACCUGUGCUUGCUUUUAAUAAAACCAGAGAGUCAUUAACGUUGGAAAAGACCUCUAAGACCAUUGAAUCCAACUGUUAACAAUAUUGGCUCAACAGUAUGUGGCUGGGGGAUAAAAAGUUGUAUUGCUUUAAAAAUUUACUAAUUUACUGAAUUCAAAUGAAAGUGGGAUUUAGUGAAGCAAGCCGAGGGUUUGUGUCUGAACAUCUGGCUGUAGAUGUGACCACUAUUGUGUGUCAGGGAUCUGCAGGACUCUGUUCCACCCCUGUUGGAAAUACCAUGCCAGCAGAGGUCUGGUUUGUGUCAAAACAAACACUGGAUACGUAUUCAGCAAGAACAGUAAUGAAAUAGUUGGCUAUAAAAACCCUUCUGUUCUCAGAACUAAAAUGUGAUGCACUUAUAACAGAAAGGGCACUUUUUGUAAGACAUUGAAGUCUUCUUUAUAUGUUUUGAAUAUAUUUUACUAAAUCAGUUGCCUGGAAAUGGAGUUUAAUUCUGGAAUUCAAUGAACGUUGAACAGUCGUUUCCUCUCUGCACUGUUGGUUGUUUUACAGGUACUUCACAUGCACCUUCUUCAGUCAUGUCUUCUGAGAGCCAGUGUUACAUGGAUUUAUUUGGAUGGGAAAUGGUUCCUCAGUUGGGAUUAUCCUUUUUGUCUCUCUCUGGAUUAUUUUACCAUUCAUAACUGCAGGUAGAAUUGCAGAGGUGCAUCGCUGGUUAAUGCAGUGGUGUCUGUCCUCUGCCUCCCUCUCCAGUAUCUCCCCCAGUGUGUUAACUGCAUUUUUUCAAUGAUAAGAAUUGAUUUGGAAAAUCACUCUGACAACUCCUCUGCAAAGUGCUCAUCAAGGAGUCAUCAAGGACUCCGGUUCUUGCCUUCUUGGCAUGUCUUUGCAUUGUCGAAAUUUUAUUGUCCAGGCUUUGUUGCAGGACCUCCUGAUGCUUUCUGCAUGGUUGGUCUGAAUAACUCUGUCAAAAACUGUCUUAAGGAUCCUGGAAAAGAACUGGAUAACAUUUGGCAACUAUGAGCAUCCUGUGAGUCCUUUUGGACUUCUUUCCUUUCUGGAAAACAUCCAUUCUUCCCUAGCCUUUAAACAACUGUUGGUACAAAACCAGUCUUGGACUUAAUUCUUGUCCUGUGUCAGCUCAGUAUGUUUAAGUGCCUUCAUAAAGGCACUGCUGAAAGAUGCAUUUAAGUAAAAUAAUAAAUCUGUGGUGUAUCAACAACAGAUCUUUAUCUCUCCUGUUGAUGCCUUAACAUUUUUAGAUUUCCAGGGCAAGAGCUCUCUCUGCUCUUAUCUGAGUGUUUGAUCUACUUGAGACUUUAAUAACUUUUAUUAGUUAUUUUAUAAGUUAUGUAAGACAUUUAGUAAGUUUUUUAUUCAGUGCAGUGCUGUGAUGGGUUUUUUUUGCUCCAUAAUCAUUCCUCCUGUGUUUUACUCCACAGGAAUCCUGAGGAAAAUCACAUCCAGCUGCUCUGUAACUGAACUGUCUGACCAGCUGCUCCAGGGCAACAUCCAGAGCUCCAUCCCUCUGCUCCUUGGCUGCCUGGUUGAGCCCCAAGAAGCUGUUCAUGGUGUCUAAAAAUGAUACCUCUGCCCUGUGUCCAAGUGUGUGUCCCACUGCACACGGCAGACACGUCACCUCUGUUCCCAUCCCAAGCCAGAAAUCUGGGCUCCCAUCCUCAGGAAAUC
Pipra filicauda (Wire-tailed manakin) is the source of this 2447-nucleotide long non-coding RNA. RefSeq lists it as uncharacterized. NCBI's taxonomy places the organism in Eukaryota, Metazoa, Chordata, Aves, Passeriformes, Pipridae. The transcript is spliced from 3 exons. The record is from RefSeq and is a predicted model, not a curated record.